UGGGGAAUAUUGCGCAAUGGGGGAAACCCUGACGCAGCGACGCCGCGUGUGGGAUGAAGGUCUUCGGAUUGUAAACCACUGUCGCGAGGGACGAAGCUCUGACGGUACCUCGAAAGGAAGCACCGGCUAACUCUGUGCCAGCAGCCGCGGUAAUACAGAGGGUGCGAGCGUUGUCCGGAAUCACUGGGCGUAAAGGGCGCGUAGGCGGCCCGGUAAGUAGGGGGUGAAAUCUCAUGGCUCAACUGUGAGGCUGCCUUCUAGACUGCCAGGCUUGAGCACAGUAGAGGCGAGUGGAAUUCCAGGUGUAGCGGUGAAAUGCGUAGAUAUCUGGAGGAACACCGGUGGCGAAGGCGACAUCCUGGACCAAUUCUGACGCUGAGGAGCGAAAGCCAGGGGAGCAAACGGGAUUAGAUACCCAGGUAGUCCCUGAGCGGGCUGGCAAGGCGCAU
Molecule: ribosomal RNA, 449 nt
Filed under: uncultured bacterium
Lineage: Bacteria
Description: bacterial SSU rRNA
Rfam family: Bacterial small subunit ribosomal RNA
Source: RNAcentral